GGUGAAGUGUUCGGAUUGCGGCGACGUGGGCGGUUCGCUGCCCGCGACGUUGUGAGAAGUCCACUGAACCUUAUCAUUUAGAGGAAGGAGAAGUCGUAACAAGGUUUCCGUAGGUGAACCUGCGGAAGGAUCAUUG
This 136-nucleotide ribosomal RNA is filed under the name Oxytropis maydelliana. Its description in RNAcentral is "partial 18S ribosomal RNA". It matches the Rfam family "Eukaryotic small subunit ribosomal RNA", at positions 1700 to 1831 of the family's 1831-position model. Lineage: Eukaryota; Viridiplantae; Streptophyta; Magnoliopsida; Fabales; Fabaceae. The record is from RNAcentral.